Molecule: non-coding RNA, 18 nt
Filed under: Arabidopsis thaliana (thale cress)
Lineage: Eukaryota; Viridiplantae; Streptophyta; Magnoliopsida; Brassicales; Brassicaceae
Also listed under: 2 other names
Source: RNAcentral
GACUCUCUUAAGGUAGCC